GCUGGCGGCAUGCCUAUCAUGCAAGUCGAACGCUUUGAUUUCACCGGGUGCUUGCACCCACCGAAGUCAAAGAGUGGCGGACGGGUGAGUAACACGUGGGUAACCUGCCCAUAAGAGGGGGAUAACAUUCGGAAACGGAUGCUAAUACCGCAUACUUCUAAUCGCCUCCUGGCGAAUGGAAAAAAGGUGGCUUCGGCUACCGCUUAUGAUGGACCCGCGGCGUAUUAGCUAGUUGGUGAGGUAAUGGCUCACCAAGGCGAUGAUACGUAGCCGACCUAAGAGGGUGAUCGGCCACACUGGGACUGAGACACGGCCCAGACUCCUACGGGAGGCAGCAGUAGGGAAUCUUCCGCAAUGGACGAAAGUCUGACGGAGCAAUGCCGCGUGAGUGAAGAAGGUUUUCGGAUCGUAAAACUCUGUUGUUAGAGAAGAACAAGGAUGAGAGUAACUGCUCAUCCCCUGACGGUAUCUAACCAGAAAGCCACGGCUAACUACGUGCCAGCAGCCGCGGUAAU
RNAcentral lists this ribosomal RNA (515 nucleotides) under uncultured bacterium. RNAcentral describes it as "bacterial SSU rRNA". It matches the Rfam family "Bacterial small subunit ribosomal RNA", at positions 35 to 524 of the family's 1533-position model. The record is from RNAcentral.